AACGAACGCUGGCGGCAUGCCUAACACAUGCAAGUCGAACGAGACCUUCGGGUCUAGUGGCGCACGGGUGCGUAACGCGUGGGAACCUGCCCUUAGGUUCGGAAUAACUCCCCGAAAGGGGUGCUAAUACCGGAUAAUGUCUUCGGACCAAAGAUUUAUCGCCUUUGGAUGGGCCCGCGUUGGAUUAGCUAGUUGGUAGGGUAAAAGCCUACCAAGGCGACGAUCCAUAGCUGGUCUGAGAGGAUGAUCAGCCACACUGGGACUGAGACACGGCCCAGACUCCUACGGGGGGCAGCAGUGGGGAAUAUUGGACAAUGGGCGAAAGCCUGAUCCAGCAAUGCCGGGGGAGUGAUGAAGGCCUUAGGGUUGUAAAGCUUUUUUACCCGGGAUGAUAAUGACAGUCCCGGGAGAAUAAGCCCCGGCUAACUCCGU
RNAcentral lists this ribosomal RNA (432 nucleotides) under uncultured bacterium. RNAcentral describes it as "partial 16S ribosomal RNA". It matches the Rfam family "Bacterial small subunit ribosomal RNA", at positions 29 to 506 of the family's 1533-position model. The record is from RNAcentral.